CCCUUAGAUGUUCUGAGCCGCACGCGUGCUACACUGAGUGGAUCAGCGGGUCAGGUUGCGCGAAAGUGUUUCCUAAUCUUGAAAUCCGCUCGUGAUGGGGAUUGACGGUUGCAAUUUUCCGUCAUGAACGAGGAAUACCUUGUAAGCGCGGGUCAUCAUCCCGCGCUGAAUACGUCCCUGCCCUUUGUACACACCGCCCGUCGCUCCUACCGAUUGAGUGGUCCGGUGAGGCUUUGGGAUCUGAGCGGAAAGAGCGUUUCGCUGUUUCUGCUCGGAAAACUCAGUCGAACCUUAUCAUUUAGAGGAAGGAGAAGUCGUAACA
This 322-nucleotide ribosomal RNA is filed under the name uncultured eukaryote. RNAcentral describes it as "partial 18S ribosomal RNA". It matches the Rfam family "Eukaryotic small subunit ribosomal RNA", at positions 1470 to 1796 of the family's 1831-position model. The record is from RNAcentral.